This 141-nucleotide non-coding RNA is filed under the name Photobacterium jeanii. RNAcentral's name for it is "TPP sequence". It matches the Rfam family "TPP riboswitch aptamer (THI element)". From Rfam's summary of the family: Vitamin B(1) in its active form thiamin pyrophosphate (TPP) is an essential coenzyme that is synthesised by coupling of pyrimidine and thiazole moieties in bacteria. The previously detected thiamin-regulatory element, thi box was extended, resulting in a new, highly conserved RNA secondary structure, the THI element, which is widely distributed in eubacteria and also occurs in some archaea. Analysis of operon structures identified a large number of new candidate thiamin-regulated genes, mostly transporters, in various prokaryotic organisms. The record is from Rfam by way of RNAcentral. Lineage: Bacteria; Pseudomonadati; Pseudomonadota; Gammaproteobacteria; Vibrionales; Vibrionaceae.
ACGUUCUCAUUGGGGAGCUAGCCUAAGAAGAUACUUGUUAGCCAACAAACAACAUCUUAGGUUGACGCUGAGAUUGCAUACGCAGAACCCACAGAACCUGAACCAGCUAAUACUGGCGUAGGAAUUGAGAAGUCGCUGAUC